RNAcentral lists this long non-coding RNA (573 nucleotides) under Rosa chinensis. RNAcentral's name for it is "sRNA RchiOBHm_Chr1g0371591". Lineage: Eukaryota; Viridiplantae; Streptophyta; Magnoliopsida; Rosales; Rosaceae. The record is from RNAcentral.
GAUGAGCUUAUAUCUCUGAAAUUAAGGCUAAAAGAGGAUCACAAGAUUGGGAUAAUAUUUGAUGAUAUUCUUUGGUUAAUUAUGAUUUAUGAAAAGCAUAUGAAUGUGUAGUAGAUAUGGUGCAUGCGUAACUUUGGUACAGAAUAUGAACAUGUGGAUGAUAAGUUAUGAUUCAUAAUAACCCUUAUUAAGUUUGAUGGACUAGAGAAUGCUAGAAUUCACUUUUAUGCUUGUUGAAACUUUUAUCAAUACAUGUCCCUGAUUUCGGAAAGGAUUAAAGGCACUUAGGAUUUUUACCACCAUAGCCAAAUAUAAUCUGUGUCCCUAUUUGUGCCCGUCAUGGGACUCCUCUAGUUUAACCAUUUUGAGCCUACUUUGAGCCUUUUUAUUUCAUCACCCUCAAAAAUCCCUUAACCCUUAACCUUAGUAUAGUUAUAUCUUUACCCUUUGUUCUAAAGAUUUAGUAGAGCAUAUUUUUGAGACUUUGCUUGGAGUUUUGGUGUCAAGGAAAACUUUUGAAGACAUGAAGAAGUUCAAGUGUGGGGGUAGACUUGUCCAUAUGUAAUGUUUGUA